Molecule: long non-coding RNA, 1586 nt
Organism: Drosophila sechellia
Lineage: Eukaryota; Metazoa; Arthropoda; Insecta; Diptera; Drosophilidae
Exons: 3
Source: RefSeq, a predicted model, not a curated record
GCAGCGCGCGGUUGCAGCCACCGAAACGCGAGGAUAACUCAGCCAGGAUAACAAUAUCGUGCGAUCCUUCGACGAUGGUCGGUUGAAUAUAAAUAUAGAGGUGGCCUCAAAGGCAAAAGCACGAAAUAACCCCGUACCACAGUGUUUAGAAAGUGCAAAAGUGUGUGUUUGUGUGAGAGAUAGAGAGAGAGAGUGUGGCAUUAGCGGGUUCACCACCUCCCACGCAGUUUGAACUUGUGGCAAAGUCGCAAAUGCAACGGCUAGUUGCGAAUUCACAGCGUGCCACGGGCAAUAUACUGACACCUCCAUCUCGUUCGGUCCCGAUCCCGUACCCGCUUCCGUUGCUGGUACCCCGGUAAAUCCGUGUCCAUCGAAAUAGCCCGUAACCCGUAACCCGUUUCGCAUCCGUAUUCGGUAUUCCGUGUUCCGUGUUCGCGUCGCGGUUCGUUGAGCUGGCAGCCAAAACUGUCGGUUUAGUUGCGCCAUCGCCAUUAUCUAUAUGCCAACAUAGCAGAACUCGGCUGCAGAUUGCAUCCCAUAUCCGCGGAACGUGUCGCCAUCGCCACCGCUGGCCAUGUGAACUGUAAGGCAAACAAUUUAAAGUUGAAAAAAUCAAUUAAUAACCAAUGAAGAUAAAUCCGAAAAGCAAUUAAUGUGAACGAAGGAAUUUAAAUAAAUCCAUAACUUUAACGAUACAUAUCAAUGUUAGUCUGAUUUUCCAUUAAUACCAUUAGCUUAUUAAAUACCCAUAUACACAGAUUCUUUAAAAAUAACCAAGUUUAAAGCAGAGCCUAGAGCAAUUAAAUCGAUUUGGAAUUCUUAGAAAACAAGUGAAGCGUUGAAAACGAGACCCGGUGGCAAAAUAAAUAUUUAAUUAAAUCGACUGUGUGUGCAAAAGGAUGCAAUUUAAUUGAAUGGAUAUAACGAAUCACGCGAGUUUUCCUGAAAAAAAAACCUCAAAAACACGCACAUCCGUGUCGCGCCAAAUCGCUUUGUCAUGUAAUGUCUUUAUGUCCUCGAGCGGAUCAAGUGCUUAGGCGAUAAGGAAAAGCAGCUGGAGCGGCUGGCUCCUUUACGGAUUUCCGGAUUAUAUGCAUAAAUGAAAGCACGCAUGCCACGGACGUAAGCCAAAGUUUCAAGGGGCCUAGGACUCCAUCGCACAGCGGAUUAGCUGCAACAUAAAGCCACACACACGUACACACACACAAAGGUCCUGAAUAGAGGCAAAAAACGCGAAGAAGCAGCAGGAAGCUGGGAUUUGGUGCCCUCCAUGACGUCAACUGUGUGUAAAUGGGCAAGCAAUUAAGCCGUUAACGAUGUGCCCGCUCUCAAAGGCGCCACGCAGGACCUCCAGGACCUCCACGAACUUCAGCACCACCCCGAUCCAGAAAGCGAUAGAACGCCAGAUAGAGUCCUUUACGAGCACAAGCGAACCAAUAAAAAAUGCAUUCAGCCGCGCUGCGUCCAAUGUCGCUGAUUAAUUCCAACUGAACAGUAGACAACGUCCGCUGAUAUCUGGAUUCCAUUUGUACUACAACCAAUGACAACAUGCUGAAACCGUUCGCCGUGAUUAUCGGAAUUUUUUA